UUGGCGACCGGCGCACGGGUGCGUAACGCGUAUGUAACCUACCUAUAACAGGGGCAUAACACUGAGAAAUUGGUACUAAUUCCCCAUAAUAUUCGGAGAGGCAUCUCUCCGGGUUGAAAACUCCGGUGGUUAUAGAUGGACAUGCGUUGUAUUAGCUAGUUGGUGAGGUAACGGCUCGCCAAGGCAACGAUACAUAGGGGGACUGAGAGGUUAACCCCCCACACUGGUACUGAGACACGGACCAGACUCCUACGGGAGGCAGCAUG
RNAcentral lists this ribosomal RNA (266 nucleotides) under uncultured bacterium. Its description in RNAcentral is "partial 16S ribosomal RNA". It matches the Rfam family "Bacterial small subunit ribosomal RNA", at positions 88 to 353 of the family's 1533-position model. The record is from RNAcentral.